ACGUUGCACUGCUGUUUUAUUUAGUGUUUGUAGGUUUUUUUCAUCCCAAAGACUUUACGGAGCAGCAGGAGAUUGAAUGAAAACUAAAAGGCAGUGGCUUGUUUUACUUUAUGAAGUUUACUGUAAGAGAAGUUUCCCACAUAU
Non-coding RNA from Schizosaccharomyces pombe (fission yeast), 144 nucleotides. Lineage: Eukaryota; Fungi; Ascomycota; Schizosaccharomycetes; Schizosaccharomycetales; Schizosaccharomycetaceae. The record is from Rfam.